AACUUUCAGCAAUGGAUCUCUUGGCUCUCGCAUCGAUGAAGAACGCAGCGAAUUGCGAUAUGUAAUGUGAAUUGCAGAUUUACAGUGAAUCAUCGAAUCUUUGAACGCACAUUGCGCUCCU
Molecule: ribosomal RNA, 121 nt
Filed under: Chroogomphus asiaticus
Lineage: Eukaryota; Fungi; Basidiomycota; Agaricomycetes; Boletales; Gomphidiaceae
Description: partial 5.8S ribosomal RNA
Rfam family: 5.8S ribosomal RNA
About the family: 5.8S ribosomal RNA (5.8S rRNA) is a component of the large subunit of the eukaryotic ribosome. It is transcribed by RNA polymerase I as part of the 45S precursor that also contains 18S and 28S rRNA. Functionally, it is thought that 5.8S rRNA may be involved in ribosome translocation.
Source: RNAcentral